Molecule: ribosomal RNA, 300 nt
Filed under: uncultured Gammaproteobacteria bacterium
Lineage: Bacteria; Pseudomonadati; Pseudomonadota; Gammaproteobacteria
Description: bacterial SSU rRNA
Rfam family: Bacterial small subunit ribosomal RNA
Source: RNAcentral
CGCGUGGGAAUCUACCUUGUAGUGGGGGAUAGCCCGGAGAAAUCCGGAUUAAUACCGCAUAAUCUCUACGGAGCAAAGUGGGGGAUCUUCGGACCUCACGCUAUUAGAUGAGCCCGCGUUAGAUUAGCUUGUUGGUGGGGUAAUGGCUCACCAAGGCAACGAUCUAUAGCUGGUUUGAGAGGAUGAUCAGCCACACUGGGACUGAGACACGGCCCAGACUCCUACGGGAGGCAGCAGUGGGGAAUAUUGGACAAUGGGCGCAAGCCUGAUCCAGCAAUACCGCGUGUGUGAAGAAGGCCU